This 174-nucleotide unclassified non-coding RNA is filed under the name Favolus brasiliensis. Its description in RNAcentral is "partial ITS1". The record is from RNAcentral. Lineage: Eukaryota; Fungi; Basidiomycota; Agaricomycetes; Polyporales; Polyporaceae.
GCUGGCCUUUACGAAGGCAUGUGCACGCCCUGCUCAAUCCACUCUACACCUGUGAACUUACUGUGGGUUUCGAGAAGGGGGCCGUAAAAAAGCCUUCAGAUUGAAGCCCACGUUUAACCACAAACACUGUCAUUGUAUUUGAAUGUAUCGCGAUGUUAAUAAACGCAUCUAUAU